ACAGAGAGGGUAGUGUGGAACUGAUAGUCUUAAUUAGCUGUGGAGCAUCUCAUUUGGCAAUGGCUUGAAUGUAACGGACGUUCUUUAAUAUCAAAAAGUCACGGACUCAAGAC
Long non-coding RNA from Etheostoma cragini (Arkansas darter), 113 nucleotides. RefSeq lists it as uncharacterized. The transcript is spliced from 4 exons. Lineage: Eukaryota; Metazoa; Chordata; Actinopteri; Perciformes; Percidae. The record is from RefSeq and is a predicted model, not a curated record.